AUAUGCCAUUGAGUGGGGGACAACAGUUGGAAACGACUGCUAAUACCGCAUAACGUCUACGGACCAAAGGGGGGGAUCUUCGGACCUCUCGCUCAUUGAUUAGCCCAAGUGAGAUUAGCUAGUUGGUAAGGUAAUGGCUUACCAAGGCGACGAUCUCUAGCUGGUUUGAGAGGAUGAUCAGCCACACUGGGACUGAGACACGGCCCAGACUCCUACGGGAGGCAGCAGUGGGGAAUAUUGCACAAUGGGCGAAAGCCUGAUGCAGCCAUGCCGCGUGUGUGAAGAAGGCCUUCGGGUUGUAAAGCACUUUCAGUAAGGAGGAAAGGGAUGUAGUUAAUAGCUGCAUUCUGUGACGUUACUUACAGAAGAAGCACCGGCUAACUUCGUGCCAGCAGCCGCGGUAAUACGAGGGGUGCAAGCGUUAAUCGGAAUUACUGGGCGUAAAGCGUUCGUAGGCGGUUAUUUAAGCAAGAUGUGAAAGCCCAGGGCUCAACCUUGGAACUGCAUUUUGAACUGGAUGGCUAGAGUACUGUAGAGGGUGGUGGAAUUUCCAGUGUAGCGGUGAAAUGCGUAGAGAUUGGAAGGAACAUCAGUGGCGAAGGCGGCCACCUGGACAGAUACUGACGCUGAGGAACGAAAGCGUGGGGAGCGAACAG
Molecule: ribosomal RNA, 656 nt
Filed under: uncultured bacterium
Lineage: Bacteria
Description: bacterial SSU rRNA
Rfam family: Bacterial small subunit ribosomal RNA
Source: RNAcentral